CGGGUGAGUAACACGCAUCCAACCUGCCGUCUACUCUUGGACAGCCUUCUGAAAGGAAGAUUAAUACAAGAUGGCAUCAUGAGUCCGCAUGUUCACAUGAUUAAAGGUAUUCCGGUAGACGAUGGGGAUGCGUUCCAUUAGAUAGUAGGCGGGGUAACGGCCCACCUAGUCUUCGAUGGAUAGGGGUUCUGAGAGGAAGGUCCCCCACAUUGGAACUGAGACACGGUCCAA
RNAcentral lists this ribosomal RNA (231 nucleotides) under uncultured bacterium. RNAcentral describes it as "partial 16S ribosomal RNA". It matches the Rfam family "Bacterial small subunit ribosomal RNA", at positions 103 to 334 of the family's 1533-position model. The record is from RNAcentral.